GCGUCGGUGUUUCAAUGGUAGAAUGCUCGUCUGCCACGCGGGCGGUCCGGGUUCGAUUCCCAGCCAACGCA
Schistosoma mansoni is the source of this 71-nucleotide non-coding RNA. Lineage: Eukaryota; Metazoa; Platyhelminthes; Trematoda; Strigeidida; Schistosomatidae. The record is from Rfam.